RNAcentral lists this ribosomal RNA (198 nucleotides) under uncultured bacterium. RNAcentral describes it as "partial 16S ribosomal RNA". It matches the Rfam family "Bacterial small subunit ribosomal RNA", at positions 328 to 539 of the family's 1533-position model. The record is from RNAcentral.
ACGUUCGACACCUACGGGAGGCAGCAGUGGGGAAUAUUGCACAAUGGGGGGAACCCUGAUGCAGCGACGCCGCGUGAGUGAAGAAGUACUUCGGUAUGUAAAGCUCUAUCAGCAGGGAAGAAAAUGACGGUACCUGACUAAGAAGCCCCGGCUAACUACGUACCAGCAGCCGCGGUAAUCUGAGCGGGCUGGCAAGGC